UUGUAUUGUAUUAUGUUGUUAGUUUAAAUGGAAAUGGGCCAAAAAAUACCCUUAGUUUUUUUGUCUCAAAAACACAUGUCCAUUAAAUAUUUGGCUAAAACAUAACCCCUCUUUAACGAAAUGCUACCAAGCACGCCACAUGAAGUAAAAUUGCUACAUGACAAGUCUGCGUGGAAAAUCACCUUUUUAAAUACAUUUUACACAAACAGGUACUAAUGACCGCAAUAACCGAUUACCUCUCAUCCUAAUAUUCAUUAUAUAUAUAUAGGACUGAUUUGUUAUUUCUAUAUCCUAAAUUAUCAUUUCUCUCUAAACAGUUUUUAAAAUGUUCUAUACAUUCUUCUAUUUUCAUGUCGUCUUUUUGACACCCUUUACAUUUAAAAGUUAUAUAUUUAUAUUCUUCUGCUAAGUUUUCA
RNAcentral lists this long non-coding RNA (416 nucleotides) under Capsicum annuum. Its description in RNAcentral is "long non-coding RNA (CANN_LNC001997)". The record is from RNAcentral. Lineage: Eukaryota; Viridiplantae; Streptophyta; Magnoliopsida; Solanales; Solanaceae.